UCCGAGGCGGCCGCCGCCGGCCGGAGCCAACGGCAUCCUUCCUCAUCCCCCCGCCGUUCCCGAUGCGAUCAUCAGCCACCGCGGGCGGGAAGGAAUGGCCCCGUCAGAGCGCUCGCCUCACGUUCUCUGGCUCCGCCGCCACUACCCGCCACACCGGCGCGGUGAGCUCACGCUUAAACCCAUCUUUCCAGUACUCCGACGCGCAGCAGCAAACAAAUCCGCAACAAAAACUGGAUGGAUCGGAGAGGAAGGAGAGAGAGCGAGUUGGGGAUCAUCACCAACAGAAGAAACCAAUCCAACCAUGGAUGGAUUUUGUUUAAAUUAAUUUAGAUUUGAAUUGAAAUUAGUUCAAAUUUUAGUACAUUUCUCAAUUUAAUCAAACUUCACUGAAAUAUCAAACAAAUUUGUCUCAACUAGUAAACACAAAUAAAUCAAAUAUUACAAGUACAUUAAUUGUUAUAAAGUAUAUAUGUACAAAAUUAGGCCAUAUGUGCAAUAAUCAUUUAUAAGUAGGGUUAAAUAUGCAAGGUAAAAACGUUCAUUCAUGUCUCAUUUAACACCCGUUAAACUCACUUAACAGACUAGGGUCAGUCGGUGCUUUUAUUUUAAAAAAAACAGGGUCAAAUCUGUAAAAUGGAAAAAACGGGGUCAAAUGCGUAGUUAGCUUCUAAAAUAGGGUCAGUUAUGCAAUAGCCCCAAAGAAAAACUUGGCAACUUCAGUUAUACGUGAAAAAUGAAUAUGAAAAUAGGUAUUUACUAAUUUGGUCAUCCCUUUUAUACGUAACUUUAGUUGUAUAAUAUGAAAAUAGAUAUUAACUAAACUGGUCGUCCAUUCUCUACAUAACUCUAGUUGUCUAUUAGAAUGAUCUCAUAUAGUUCCAUAAAUAAGUUUCACUUCUUAUAUCCUAAUUCUAGAUCUACCAGUUUUAUUCAUAAACAAUACAAAUUACAGAUACAAACAUAUAUUAAAAAUUUAGAUUGAACUCCGGCCACAUAUUACAUGAAGUGAUAACCGAAAACAACAGCAAUGCACUAACUAUUGGCAUAUCCCACAAUGUAGCAUUAUUACUGUCCUUGCAGUUCACACAUCAAUAGUACAAAAAACUUUCAUGAAUCAUCCUGUCUAUUUUAGAUGAUUUGGUUUACAACGUUGGAAAUGUAUAUUCCGUAGACUAGAGAAUCAUAAAUAAACCAAAUUGGAAAAUACAUGACAAUAAUAAAAAUCGCAUAUAUAGUGCACAUAUCUUAUUCAAUUUCUUGUCAGGAAAACAAUGAUGGACACAUGCUGAUAUGAGCAAGUUUCUAUGCCACUUAACAUGAUCAAUUUUGUUUGCCGCUCCAUUUAUAGUACUACUAGCAUGUAUGAAACAUAACUGAAGUGAACACAUAAUUUGGUUAUUUUAUUUUUUAACACAUAAUUUGGUUAACAUAUGUUAUUCUCACUGUGGCUCAUGGGGCAGGUAUUCAGGAUAAUUGAACCUAUGCAUGGAGUGCUGUGAACACAUAAUUUGGUUAUCUUAUUUUUUAACAUGAUGUAGUAUUUUCUUCUUUCAUAACUCAUGGAAGAUAUCUACGAUGAUUGAACCCAUGUGCAGAGUGCAGUGAACAAACUUUGAUCAUGAUCUUUAUGAAGCAUAAUUUUUAGCAUUUGUUUUUAAUCUUAAUCUUACCUUUGAUGGACUGAAAUAAGAAUAGAGCUCAUUCAAUCCUAAGAUUGUAUCAAAGGACCAAACUGAACAUUAGGAUCUUCAUACAUCUCUCUGUGAAUUGUAUCAAAAGACCAUACCUACAUGUGAGGUUUUGAGACUCCCUUAAUUUUGCAUGCAUGCAGCCUGGACAAGAC
Molecule: long non-coding RNA, 1843 nt
Filed under: Oryza brachyantha (malo sina)
Lineage: Eukaryota; Viridiplantae; Streptophyta; Magnoliopsida; Poales; Poaceae
Description: long non-coding RNA (OBRA_LNC001700)
Source: RNAcentral